GAUGAACGCUGGCGGCGUGCCUAAUACAUGCAAGUCGAGCGAACGGACGAGAAGCUUGCUUCUCUGAUGUUAGCGGCGGACGGGUGAGUAACACGUGGAUAACCUACCUAUAAGACUGGGAUAACUUCGGGAAACCGGAGCUAAUACCGGAUAAUAUUUUGAACCGCAUGGUUCAAAAGUGAAAGACGGUCUUGCUGUCACUUAUAGAUGGAUCCGCGCUGCAUUAGCUAGUUGGUAAGGUAACGGCUUACCGAGGCAACGAUGCAUAGCCGACCUGAGAGGGUGAUCGGCCACACUGGAACUGAGACACGGUCCAGACUCCUACGGGAGGCAGCAGUAGGGAAUCUUCCGCAAAGGGCGAAAGCCUGACGGAGCAACGCCGCGUGAGUGAUGAAGGUCUUCGGAUCGUAAAACUCUGUUAUUAGGGAAGAACAUAUGCGUAAGUAACUGUGCACAUCUUGACGGUACCUAAUCAGAAAGCCACGGCUAACUACGUG
Molecule: ribosomal RNA, 497 nt
Filed under: uncultured bacterium
Lineage: Bacteria
Description: partial 16S ribosomal RNA
Rfam family: Bacterial small subunit ribosomal RNA
Source: RNAcentral